GCCUGGGUUUGGCUUGAUGGCAGGUCCGAUCCCAUAGGCCUCUCGCAGUGUCCCAUGCCAAAGCAAACUGGAAUCCCGAACCAUUGCCUGGCUUUACCCCGUGGGCUUCAGGCACUGAACCAUUUGCACAGUG
Molecule: small nucleolar RNA, 133 nt
Organism: Echinops telfairi (small Madagascar hedgehog)
Lineage: Eukaryota; Metazoa; Chordata; Mammalia; Afrosoricida; Tenrecidae
Product: small nucleolar RNA SNORA42/SNORA80 family
Exons: 1
Source: RefSeq, a predicted model, not a curated record